AACGAACGCUGGCGGCAGGCUUAACACAUGCAAGUCGAACGUGAAGCUGGAGCUUGCUCCAGUGGAAAGUGGCAGACGGAUGAGUAACGCGUGGGAAUUUACCCAGUGGUUCGGAAUAACUUCAGGAAACCGGAGCUAAUACCGAAUACGCCCUUCGGGGGAAAGAUUUAUCGCCAUUGGAUAAGCCCGCGUCGGAUUAGCUUGUUGGUGAGGUAAAAGCUCACCAAGGCGACGAUCCGUAGCUGGUCUGAGAGGAUGAUCAGCCACACUGGGACUGAGACACGGCCCAGACUCCUACGGGAGGCAGCAGUGGGGAAUAUUGCGCAAUGGAGGAAACUCUGACGCAGCCAUGCCGCGUGAGUGAAGAAGGCCUUAGGGUUGUAAAACUCUUUCGCUAGGGAAGAUAAUGACGGUACCUAGUAAAGAAGCCCCGCCAACU
This 439-nucleotide ribosomal RNA is filed under the name uncultured bacterium. RNAcentral describes it as "bacterial SSU rRNA". It matches the Rfam family "Bacterial small subunit ribosomal RNA", at positions 29 to 502 of the family's 1533-position model. The record is from RNAcentral.